GAUGAACGCUGGCGGCGUGCUUAACACAUGCAAGUCGGACGGGAAGUCGUGUUUCCAGUGGCGUACGGGUGUGUCACGCGUAAGAGCCUGCCCUUGGUAGGGGGCCCACAGCUGGAAACGGCUGCUAAUACCCCGUAGGCUGUGGCGCAUAGGGAGUAAUCCGGCCGAGGGGGGGCUUGCGUCUGAUUGCCUAGGUGGUGAGGCAAUUGCUUACCCAGGCGAUGGUCAGUAGCUGGUCCGAGGUGAUGGUCAGCAACGCUGGGACUGAGACACGGCCCAGACUCCGACAGGAAGCAGUGGGGGGUAAUGCACCGUGAGGGGAGACAGGCUGAAGGAGCGACGCCGCGGGGAGGUAGAAGGCCGAGGGGUCGUGAACUGCUUCUUGCGGAGAAGAAGCAAUGACGGUAACUGGGGAAUAAGCACCGGCUAACUCUGUG
RNAcentral lists this ribosomal RNA (437 nucleotides) under uncultured bacterium. Its description in RNAcentral is "partial 16S ribosomal RNA". It matches the Rfam family "Bacterial small subunit ribosomal RNA", at positions 28 to 507 of the family's 1533-position model. The record is from RNAcentral.